Molecule: long non-coding RNA, 3762 nt
Organism: Vespula vulgaris
Lineage: Eukaryota; Metazoa; Arthropoda; Insecta; Hymenoptera; Vespidae
Exons: 9
Source: RefSeq, a predicted model, not a curated record
UUUCGGCUCUUUCUAUCAGAAAUUACCUCAGUCAUCUAACAUGGCGAUUUGCGAAGGGAACUCGCUUGCAGAAGUCAUCCUUUCGAUAAUUUUUGAACGAGUAAUACGUAAAUAUACAAGACUAAACGAAGAUGAAAGCAGUUCCAAGAGCCCAGAAGUAUUGCAGAGGAGCCUAGUUGACCGCUAUCUGAAUUAUAAUUACGUUCAAAGAAGAUACAUGGAUUUCUACGUUCAACGUGAUAAUUAAACAUUCGACAUCCGAAAUGAAACACAUCAAACGAUAUGUCCUAUGUGGAUAAGACAAAUAUCCGACCGUCAACCAGAUUAGGAAAUGAAAACGUUUUUCUCUUCUCUUUUUUAAAUGAGAUUUUAUCAUGGCGACCAGAGUAUUUUCAUCGAUGAGUGAGGUAUUAUGUCUCUUACCUUAAGCUAUUUUAAUGGUAUUAUGUUAAUAUAAAUCAAGAAUCCUUAUAAUUUUCAACUGCUGUAAUAAAGAAUAUUCGAUAUAGGAAACAAGAUGCUUGGUGAAGGAGAGGAGAUGGUAAAAACGGCGGAGGUAGCUGAUGCUGCUUACGAAUUUAUUACAAAUCUUGCCAAUAAUCUGAAACUCAAGUUGGUGAGAGAGGCACCUUACUAUCUGGUGUAUGAAAACAACAUGUUUCUAUUGCUGGAACAUUACUAUAGUAACCAUCUACUACAAUAUUGAAUUUUAAUAAAGGAGCACAUUGGAUGGUGAAUACAGAAGAGUGGUUUACAAAGCAGUUGGAAAUUUUAAGCAAGGCAGAAACAUCGUUAGCUAUUGUUCAUGUAUGCAUUAUGUGAUUGGGAAUACAUAGGAAAAAGAAAAGGAAGAAAAAACAUUUGUCCUUGACGACGAAAUUUGGAAAAGUCAAUAUGGUGCUAUCUUAUAAAGCGUGGGACGGUGAUACGAGGAGGUGGGAGGGAUUUACUUCAUUCAAAGGUUCCAACCGCGAGCGGCUUUAGCUGGAGUGUCUAUGCGAUUCUACUGAGAAUGAUUUGUCGAAGGGCCGUUCGACGUUGCAUGCAUUAGAAGAGUCAAAUGGUAAUUUGAUAAAGUAAACAACCGAUCCUAAAACUGGAGUAAGAGAUUUUUAAAGCUGACACCAGUCCGUAAUGAAGCUUCGAGUAGAUAAGUAGAUCCCUGGACUAAUCAGUCCGAAAAUCAGAAAAAUAAUAUUCUUUGGGACAAUGACAAAGUGUACAAACACGACUACAUUACAUGAUAUAAGAUAUAAAUAGUGAAGAGCAAUUUCAAAAAGACAUGUAUAAAUCCAGAAAAGAACGGUAACAGUGAUAGUGAUACCACCGAAUAUGAAAACAGGAAAAAUUUCAUAGAUGAUGAUAAGGAUGAAAAUCCUGCAAAGCUUAUCACAGAUAUCGUAGAAAAUUAUAAGGGAUAAUAUUUUGUAAUGAAAUAUGUUCUUCAAUAUCUACAAAUUCAUAUAAAUUAAAUAUCAUUACAAUAUAUUAGUUAGUUCCACGGUCACGAUAUAUUAUAUUACGUAAGUCGAUGGACCACGAUUGCGCAAAAAAUUACCAUCUAUUUGCUGACAGUUAACAUCCGAGAGAGUGCCGAACAAACAGAGUUUUUACAUUCUAUGCAUCUUUAUUGCUUUCACAGACGAAAAGGUAGAAGAUGAAAUUAAUUAAGACUUCUCUAACGAUCUCUUUUAAUUUGACAUAUUAUGAUUUCUAUUUUACUACCAUAUCCAUAUUCCAUAACAGAAUAUUGUUACAAAUGCUUCUGCUUUAUUUUUAUUGAUCUCACCCUACCAAAUAUUCACAUUCCAUGAAACGAAAUUAAUUCUCUUAUUAAUAUUCUCUCAUAACAAAAAUAUCUUGCGGGCGUUAAUAUACAUAUUUUUAAUUCCUAUGUGACAAAAUCAGCCAAAGAUGUUGUUCAUGUAAACAAUAUCUUUUUUGGUCAUAAUAAAAAUAAUAUGGUGUGCGAAGUGACCAGAACGAGGAGUAUCUGCUUUUUUAUUAUGAUCCUAAUAGAUAGUACCUUACAGGAACAAAUACAUUUAUAAGAGAAUAUUUUCAAAGAAUCCUACGUCAAAAACAUAUUCAUCAUCUAUUAUGGAAUGUCAAGAAAUUGACUUUCAAAGUUGUUCACAGUGUUAUCAUCUAAAAAGGUUGUUAUUUAAUAUUUUUAGUUCCUUGUUACAGUUUUUAGGCAAUGACAUCCCGCUUUAUAUUAUAGCUCGAAUUUAAAAAAAGGAAGAAAAGAAAAAUACAUAUCCAUAUAUCUUAUGUGCGGACACUGAAUUAUAUAAUAACGAUCGGCGGCAUUUUACUAUCAACGAUUAUCGACGGUUUCCUAAACAUAUUUGCUAUUUCUUAGCUGUAGUAAUAAUCAACGUGCUGGGUUCGAAAGGAAGGCAUUUCCUUUACAAACGUGAUCCGCAUAAUUAUGUUCCAUAGCGUCUUCAUUACGUGGUUGCAAUUAACAAGGAAGAAGAGGAAGAAGAGGAAGAAGAGGACAAACAUUUAUAAUGGUGUUGACGACGAUCCUCAAAGUAUUGCCUCAAGGUAAUCGUCAAUUAAAAUAGCGCUGUAUUACAAAGCUUCAUUCAUAUGGUGAUACGAGGAUAUGGAAUAUACGUUAUUGUAAGGAUUCAAAGGGUUGUUUGCCGUUGCAAAGGGAAUCUGGAUUCAAAUGGAACUGAAAUGGUACUCAGGCAGCUUUAUCAUUGAAAAUGAUCAAGGCUUCAUAUACGAUCAAAGUAUUCAUUGUUCUUCGGGAUAAUAACGUUAGCUCGGACACGCUUUUAAAUUAUGCGUUAAUAUGUAGUGUAUGUUUAUUUCACCGUGUCAUCGUUAUACCGUCAGUUUAUAUUAUUAUUCAAUAUAAUUAAAAAGAGAAGAAGUGUUUGGUUCAAUGUUCCAAAUUAUUUGUCAGAGUAUUCACGUCAUGUACUUAAAAAUAAUGUAUAAUGUACGUUUUUCAGAAAUAUAGGUAUUUGGACGAACUAAAUUAUUACGUAGCGCAAAUAUCUUACGAUUGAGAUUUAAUGAAAAUGCAUGUAUACGUUACGUUCUUCCAUACGUAUCGUCGUGUACGUUCGUGUUAAACAAUUUGUUAUUAUCUUUCUCCACACACUUACGCUCUUACAUUCUCUCAUCCGCGCUAGAGCAUGUAAGCGGGAAUAUGUCCGCGGUUCUGUGGGUGUGCGUGCGUAUAUCUCCUCGCUUAUUUUGACGAAACGUAUUUUUUCAAAAGAGGAAAGGUAUUUUGUCGUUCGUUCUCCUUUCAUUAAACUAAGCAGGCAAUGCGAUAAUACGAUUGGCAGUGUACUUCAAUUAGCUAUUUAGCUGCAUUAAUUAAUUAGCAGAUCGAUGUACCACAACUAAUUUAGUUCUUUCAUACGAACGAAUACUUUUCCCGAAAAAUUAAUUCAAUUACUUUAUUAUUAUUAUUUAACUGCAUCAUUUAACUAGCCAGUUAAGUCUUUUGAAAAGCAAUGCACCACGUAUCUGAUUCAAUUCUUUCAUACGAGCGAGUAGAUUUUCCUAAAAAUUUAUUUCCGAGCGAAGAACGAAAGAAUGAACUAAUUAUGCACUAUAUACAACGUUGCGUAUAUUGUAUUGUGCUGUAUGUCGUAUAUUAUGCUCUAAACUAGUUAGUUCUUAUGAAAAAAUUAUAUUUCUGCAAUCAUUUAUUAUUUAUUACGUAUAACCGAGUGUAGCAGUGAUUUUAUUAUAUUUCUAGUAAAAUAAUAUUUGUAUUUUGCGAAUGCA